AGGGAUAGAUAACUGCUGAAAAUGUGAUUCAGCAGGUAGAAUGGAUGAAUAGUCAAGAAAAGUAGUUAUCAUCUGUAGUAUAGGAGUUGGUAUCUCGGGGUAGUAUAAGGAGGAUGGGACAGGGGAAGAAAAUGCCAGACUGUGAGAGUUGUGAGCCGGGGUAAGUUUGGUGCUACCUCUUUUCUUUUGUUUGUUAUUUUCUUUGAAUAAGUGGAUUGAAAGUUUCUGAAUAUUAUGAAGUGAAUUAUGGAAUGGAAAUGUGAUUGGUAUUAUUUGAGAAGAAGAAAGAUUGAAUGCUGAAAUCUAAUUGUAGUUCAGCAGAGAGAAUGAGUUUGUGUUUGUUUGAAACACCGUAAUGUGAAUGGCAGUUCUGUGUGAAGAAUUCCAAUGAUUGGAAUGAGGGUAAUUGUGUGUUGGAAGCUGUGAGGGCGUAGUAUUACAGUUGGAAAUUAUGAAGGUGAAUAUAUUGGUGGAAAUAGCAGUUAUUGAUAUGAUUGAAUUGCUAUAAGGAAGAGACCGAUAAGGUGAAAGAGGAGAUUGUAGUUUCUUUGUGUGUUCAAAUAUUGAA
This 568-nucleotide long non-coding RNA is filed under the name Physcomitrium patens. RNAcentral describes it as "long non-coding RNA (PPAT_LNC003057)". Lineage: Eukaryota; Viridiplantae; Streptophyta; Bryopsida; Funariales; Funariaceae. The record is from RNAcentral.